ACUCCUACGGGAGGCAGCAGUGGGGGAAUAUUGGACAAUGGGGGGAACCCGUGAUCCAGCCAUGCCGCGUGUGUGAAGAAGGCCUUAUGGUUGUAAAGCACUUUAAGCGAGGAGGAGGCUCUUUUGGUUAAUACCCAAGAUGAGUGGACGUUACUCGCAGAAUAAGCACCGGCUAACUCUGUGCCAGCAGCCGCGGUAAUACAGAGGGUGCGAGCGUUAAUCGGAUUUACUGGGCGUAAAGCGUGCGUAGGCGGCUUUUUAAGUCGGAUGUGAAAUCCCCGAGCUUAACUUGGGAAUUGCAUUCGAUACUGGGGAGCUAGAGUAUGGGAGAGGAUGGUAGAAUUCCAGGUGUAGCGGUGAAAUGCGUAGAGAUCUGGAGGAAUACCGAUGGCGAAGGCAGCCAUCUGGCCUAAUACUGACGCUGAGGUACGAAAGCAUGGGGGAGCAAACAGGAUUAGAUACCCUGGUAGGAUAGCG
RNAcentral lists this ribosomal RNA (477 nucleotides) under uncultured bacterium. Its description in RNAcentral is "bacterial SSU rRNA". It matches the Rfam family "Bacterial small subunit ribosomal RNA", at positions 335 to 801 of the family's 1533-position model. The record is from RNAcentral.